Molecule: transfer RNA, 74 nt
Filed under: Rhipicephalus sanguineus (brown dog tick)
Lineage: Eukaryota; Metazoa; Arthropoda; Arachnida; Ixodida; Ixodidae
Description: transfer RNA isoleucine (anticodon AAU)
Rfam family: tRNA
About the family: Transfer RNA (tRNA) molecules are approximately 80 nucleotides in length. Their secondary structure includes four short double-helical elements and three loops (D, anti-codon, and T loops).
Source: Rfam by way of RNAcentral
GGCAUGCUAGCUCAGUCGGUUAGAGCGUCGUGCUAAUAACGCGAAGGUCGUAGGUUCGAUCCCUGCGCAGGCCA